UACGUAGGGUGCAAGCGUUAAUCGGAAUUACUGGGCGUAAAGCGUGCGCAGGCGGUUGUGCAAGACCGAUGUGAAAUCCCCGGGCUUAACCUGGGAAUUGCAUUGGAGACUGCAAGGCUAGAAUCUGGCAGAGGGGGGUAGAAUUCCACGUGUAGCAGUGAAAUGCGUAGAGAUGUGGAGGAACACCGAUGGCGAAGGCAGCCCCCUGGGUCAAGAUUGACGCUCAUGCACGAAAGCGUGGGGAGCAAACAGG
RNAcentral lists this ribosomal RNA (253 nucleotides) under uncultured bacterium. RNAcentral describes it as "partial 16S ribosomal RNA". It matches the Rfam family "Bacterial small subunit ribosomal RNA", at positions 524 to 776 of the family's 1533-position model. The record is from RNAcentral.